CGUAGGUGGCAAGCGUUGUCCGGAGUUACUGGGUGUAAAGGGCGUGUAGGCGGGAAGAUAAGUCAGAUGUGAAAUUCCAUGGCUCAACUGUGGCGCUGCAUCUGAAACUAUUUUUCUUGAGUGAUGGAGAGGGAAAGCGGAAUUCCUAGUGUAGCGGUGAAAUGCGUAGAUAUUAGGAGGAACACCAGUGGCGAAGGCGGCUUUCUGGACAUUAACUGACGCUGAGGCGCGAAAGCGUGGGGAGCAAACAGGAUUAGAUACCCUGGUAGUCCACGCUGUAAACGAUGGAUACUAGGUGUAGGAGGUAUCGACCCCUUCUGUGCCGGAGUUAACACAAUAAGUAUCCCACCUGGGGAGUACGGCCGCAAGGUUG
Molecule: ribosomal RNA, 373 nt
Filed under: uncultured organism
Description: bacterial SSU rRNA
Rfam family: Bacterial small subunit ribosomal RNA
Source: RNAcentral